ACCUACGGGGGGCAGCAGUGGGGAAUAUUGGGCAAUGGGCGCAAGCCUGACCCAGCAACGCCGCGUGAAGGAAGAAGGCUUUCGGGUUGUAAACUUAUUUUAUUCGGGACGAAACAAAUGACGGUACCGAAUGAAUAAGCCACGGCUAACUACGUGCCAGCAGCCGCGGUAAUUCCAGC
RNAcentral lists this ribosomal RNA (179 nucleotides) under Escherichia coli. Its description in RNAcentral is "partial 16S ribosomal RNA". It matches the Rfam family "Bacterial small subunit ribosomal RNA", at positions 337 to 530 of the family's 1533-position model. Lineage: Bacteria; Pseudomonadati; Pseudomonadota; Gammaproteobacteria; Enterobacterales; Enterobacteriaceae. The record is from RNAcentral.